GGCGCUUCGCGUCGCCUGGGGAUGGCUUUGCGGUGCAUUAGCUAGUUGGUGGGGUAAUGGCCCACCAAGGCGACGAUGCAUAGCCGACCUGAGAGGGUGAUCGGCCACACUGGGACUGAGACACGGCCCAGACUCUACGGGAGGCAGCAGUAGGGAAUCUUCCACAAUGGACGAAAGUCUGAUGGAGCAACGCCGCGUGAACGAUGAAGGCUUCGGGUCGUAAAGUUCUGUUGUAAGGGAAGAAAAAGUGCCGCAGGCAAUGGCGGCACCUUGACGGUACCUUGCGAGAAAGCCACGGCUAACUACGUGCCAGCAGCCGCGGUAAUACGUAGGUGGCAAGCGUUGUCCGGAAUUAUUGGGCGUAAAGCGCGCGCAGGCGGCCUCUUAAGUCUGAUGUGAAAGCCCCCGGCUCAACCGGGGAGGGCCAUUGGAAACUGGGAGGCUUGAGUAUAGGAGAGAAGAGUGGAAUUCCACGUGUAGCGGUGAAAUGCGUAGAGAUGUGGAGGAACACCAGUGGCGAAGGCGACUCUUUGGCCUAUAACUGACGCUGAGGCGCGAAAGCGUGGGGAGCAAACAGGAUUAGAUACCCUGGUAGUCCACGCCGUAAACGAUGAGUGCUAGGUGUUGGAGGGUUUC
RNAcentral lists this ribosomal RNA (636 nucleotides) under Exiguobacterium sp. G05II. RNAcentral describes it as "bacterial SSU rRNA". It matches the Rfam family "Bacterial small subunit ribosomal RNA", at positions 202 to 834 of the family's 1533-position model. Lineage: Bacteria; Bacillati; Bacillota; Bacilli; Caryophanales. The record is from RNAcentral.